GAACCCUGAAAAACAAGUCUUUAUUCCUGC
This 30-nucleotide non-coding RNA is filed under the name Mus musculus (house mouse). Lineage: Eukaryota; Metazoa; Chordata; Mammalia; Rodentia; Muridae. The record is from RNAcentral.